CCGCCCGACGGGGUGCAGCAGGCGCGAAACCUUUACACUGCACGCACGUGCGAUAAGGGGACUCCGAGUGCGAGGGCAUAUCGUCCUCGCUUUNGUGUACCGUAGGGUGGUACACCAACAAGGGCUGGGCAAGACCGGUGCCAGCCGCCGCGGUAAUACCGGCAGCCCGAGUGAUGACCGAUCUUAUUGGGCCUAAAGCGUCCGUAGCUGGCUGCGCAAGUCCGUCGGGAAAUCCACUCGCCCAACGAGUGGCCGUCCGACGGAAACUGCACACCUUGGGACCGGAAGGCUCGAAGGGUACGUGCGGGGUAGGAGUGAAAUCCUAUAAUCCCGCACGGACCACCGAUGGCGAAAGCACUUCGAGAAAACGGAUCCGACAGUGAGGGACGAAAGCCAGGGUCUCCAACCGGAUUAGAUACCCGGGUAGUCCUGGCCGUAAACAAUGUUCGUUAGGUAUGACACAGACUACGUGU
RNAcentral lists this ribosomal RNA (473 nucleotides) under uncultured Haloquadratum sp. RNAcentral describes it as "SSU rRNA". It matches the Rfam family "Archaeal small subunit ribosomal RNA", at positions 318 to 790 of the family's 1478-position model. The record is from RNAcentral. Lineage: Archaea; Methanobacteriati; Methanobacteriota; Halobacteria; Halobacteriales; Haloferacaceae.